CACCAGGCAUCGUUCCCCGUCCCCGCAUCGACUCGACUCCUCCACUCCCCAUCACCACCGCUGCACUCUCCUCCUCCUCCGCCGCCGCGCACCGCCUUGGUCGCGCUCUCCUCCUCCUUCCCCGUCGCCACCGCGCGUACGUGCUCUCCUCCCCCCCCUCCCCCACCGCGGUGGCGCUCUCCUUCUCCGCCGCCACCGCUGGUCGCCUCGCUGUACUCGUCUCCAUCGCCACCACAUCAAGUGAGUCGAUCCGAUCUACGCGCCGCAUCUGCUCCGUGCCCCCGCUAGUAUCUCCUCGCACUUUUUCUUGUAGAUCACGGGGAAGAAGAGCUGCAGCCACGAAUAGACGACAAUCUGAGGCAGUUGGUCGUGGGAGUGUGAGGAUCUUAUCUUAUCACUUCAGCCGUUCAGCGGCAUGUCGUCAAGAUCUACUAGUAGGCUGGUGAGGCGGCCAGCCGGCAGUGUGCGUUUUGUUUCAUCCUGAUCCAUCGAACCAGCUCAUACUACUAACUGCUGGUGGCUUGGCUUGAAAUAUUAGUGCAAUUGGUACCUGCAUUCUCAAUUUUGCCUUUUUUUUCAUCUCAUUUCACGAAAGAACAUGACAAUGCUAAUAGUGGUAGUUAGCUAACCAGUGCAAUUUUUAAUGAAAUACUAAUCUACAUGUAUAUUUAUUGGAAAUAAAAUAGCUAGUUUCAAAGCAAGUGUAGCAUGCUUCUGCAUAUUUGAUCUGAUGCAUGCUAGGAUGUGAUGUGAUCCAUGUGUAGCAAGUUGGACUAAUCUUGUUCAAGGCUGAAUAUGCACUUUCUGUAACCAUGAAACUGAGCCAUGUAAACUUGUCUGAUCAUAUCUGACUGAAAAAGCAAGUAGAGUUAGUAUAGAUAUCAUCAAAUGGAUGAAGUUUUGUUUUGGUCUUGCACCUGAAUUUCUAAUGCUUUUGUAAUCAUGUAAACUAAGCGAAAUGUCAAUUUUUGUGUUACUUGCGGAGUGCUCAGUGGAAGCAAUGAAUGGUAUAAAACUGAAGCAAUCAGGUAUGCAUUUCUUCUUCUGUGAAGCCUAGAGACAGUAGUUGAGGAAGACAUUACACUUGUUUGGUCUAAGAAAAAAAUGUGCUUGAUGCUAGAUUAAUCACAAGGGUGGGGGGGGGGGGGGGGGGUUGUGGUGAAAACUAAUCACAAAAACAUAAAACCACUAGUUGCCAAUUGCCAUAAAUACUCGAGUCAAAAAUAUUGUAGUGUUGAAAUUUUGUUCCCCACAAAUAACCAUACCCAAUAGUGGUGAAUUAAUGUAGCACUAUUAGCCUAUCCAUUUGUGGCACCUUUUGUUGUCACAAAAACAUUUGAUUUAGUUAGAAAUUAUUGUGUCAAUUCUUCUUCUCACUAUUUUAUUAUAACAGUGUCAAGUAAAUCAUCACAAUUGAUAUGUGAAAAGUGACACCUUUAUCAUCACAAUUUAUUAAACUACUGAUAUCUAAACUAAUGAUCGAAGCAGAUCUCUUUGAUGCCAAUUUUCUUGCAUUGAUAUUGGAGUGCUACUUGGUGGUGUCCACUGUCCACAUAGAUCUGAAUUGUAAUUCCACAUAUUUUGUGUUUGAUGGAAGCUGCAAAGCACCAGAAUGUAUGUGUGCAAUAAGGUUACCCAUUUGUUGAUCAAGUUCUCACAUCACUAGACGUGAGACUUCUCCACACUCUGUGUUUGACGCAAGGAAAUAAGCUCAUCACUCAAGAAACUAAGCUCAUCGCAUUGGGCUUGCUGCUCUUGUUGCAAUUGUGCAUUUGUUUCGACCACUGUGGAGACUUGGCCUUCCAAAAUUUGUGCACGUUGCUCAGCUGCCCCGGCACAUUGCUCAGCAGCAUCUGCACGUGCUCGAGCUGCAGCUUCGCGUUAUUCUGAAGCCUCAAUUAGCACUAGCUGCUAGUAUUAUUUUUUUCUAGUAGCAUAAAACAUGUGGUUGUCAUGAAAAAGGUAUUGAACAUAUGAGGUCUAAAUUAUAUGUUGAAUCUAAGCUGUACUGUAGGAGACUAGGAGUAUUUUUCGAAAUUCUUAAAGUGAAUUGUAACAACUGAUGACCUUUUAAGUUUGAUUUUAAGUAGAAUCAUAUUGUGUGUGUGGUAUGAAAAAUACAGAUAUCUUUUAACAUCUAACCUUUUGAAUCCGAGUUAACAUGUCGCUAUUUUUUGUGUUACUUGCAGUGUGCUUGGUGGGAACCAAUGCAUGAUCUCAGAGAAGUGAAGUUUUACAUAUUUGUGAUGAAUCAACAUGGCAGUUGACUGUUAAUGGCGCUACAAGUCCUCUUGAUUCUUUGCAGUUGUGUUAUUUGUAUGCAUGCAAGUACCUGAUAUGGUUGGAUGAUACAAAUCUGUUAGAUGCAUUAUGCCUUGAUAGCCGUUUAUCUUUGUUUUUUAAUUUAUGUGUGUACGGCAAACCACAUGUUCUAUAUUCUGUAACCGUGGUAGACGUUGCCAGAGAAGAUACGCAAGUUACCUAAUUUUUUUCAUUUUUUUCCAAUUUA
Long non-coding RNA from Panicum virgatum (switchgrass), 2509 nucleotides. RefSeq lists it as uncharacterized. NCBI's taxonomy places the organism in Eukaryota, Viridiplantae, Streptophyta, Magnoliopsida, Poales, Poaceae. The transcript is spliced from 2 exons. The record is from RefSeq and is a predicted model, not a curated record.